Molecule: small RNA, 100 nt
Filed under: Sinorhizobium meliloti 2011
Lineage: Bacteria; Pseudomonadati; Pseudomonadota; Alphaproteobacteria; Hyphomicrobiales; Rhizobiaceae
Description: putative ncRNA
Source: RNAcentral
GUAGCAGGAAAUGUGUUGCUGAAUCGUCACAUUCACAACCGCUUAUAAGCGUGGUUACCAGAUACAAAAAAGGCCCGGGGAGACCGGGCCUUUUGGAGUA